GCGGCUGUAGCUCAGUGGAUAGAGUAUUGGCCUCCGAAGCCAAGGGUCGCUGGUUCGAUUCCAGCCAGCCGCACCA
RNAcentral lists this transfer RNA (76 nucleotides) under Zoogloea ramigera. RNAcentral's name for it is "tRNA-Arg". It matches the Rfam family "tRNA". Rfam says of the family: Transfer RNA (tRNA) molecules are approximately 80 nucleotides in length. Their secondary structure includes four short double-helical elements and three loops (D, anti-codon, and T loops). The record is from RNAcentral. Lineage: Bacteria; Pseudomonadati; Pseudomonadota; Betaproteobacteria; Rhodocyclales; Zoogloeaceae. RNAcentral also lists the same sequence under 84 other names.